GAUUUAGCUGCACACCUACAGAACCAGCUCAACUUCUGGGACACCUCUAGCUCAGGUGAAACCCCGGCUACACUGGUGGGUAAGCAUGGUACCAAGGAGCUGUCUUCACAGUGGAUACAGAAGAACAACAGAAGAUGUGAGGAGGAAGAAGAAAAGAAAGAAUUUCCCCAACACCAUACGUUUUUACCGAUGUCCAUGAUUAGAGUCUGAACCACAGCGGUGACUACAAGCAUCAGCACAGAAAGACAUGAAUUUGGGAGAUAUUUGGAAAAUAGGAGGCCACAUUUCUUAUGCUUUUAUUGUCCCUUCUUGAGAGAGUUUGCUACCCACCUACAGGAAUGUUCCUUAAGGGGCAAAGACUAGAUUUUUUUUUUUUUUCCAAAUCCACCUUGUACUAAUAGUUUUGUAAAAUGCAAUAAAAAUGAUUUAGUAUAAAAAUAAUAUAGAAAAUAAACACUUUCAAAGUUUCAGUAUUUUAUUAUUAAAUCCUUCAAACAUAAGAUUACAUUUUAG
RNAcentral lists this long non-coding RNA (513 nucleotides) under Mustela putorius furo (domestic ferret). RNAcentral describes it as "lncRNA (ENSMPUG00000029955.1)". Lineage: Eukaryota; Metazoa; Chordata; Mammalia; Carnivora; Mustelidae. The record is from RNAcentral.